UACGAACGGUCCAAACGUUAUUCGGAAUCACUGGGCUUAAAGAGUCCGUAGGCGGUAUGGAAAGUGGGGUGUGAAAUCCCUCGGCUUAACCGAGGAACUGCGCUCCAAACUACCAUUCUUGAGGAACCUAGAGGUGCGCGGAACUGAUGGUGGAGCGGUGAAAUGCGUUGAUAUCAUCAGGAACACCGGAGGCGAAGGCGGCGCACUGGGGGUUUUCUGACGCUGAGGGACGAAAGCUAGGGGAGCGAACGGG
Molecule: ribosomal RNA, 253 nt
Filed under: uncultured bacterium
Lineage: Bacteria
Description: partial 16S ribosomal RNA
Rfam family: Bacterial small subunit ribosomal RNA
Source: RNAcentral